This 370-nucleotide ribosomal RNA is filed under the name uncultured organism. RNAcentral describes it as "bacterial SSU rRNA". It matches the Rfam family "Bacterial small subunit ribosomal RNA", at positions 526 to 896 of the family's 1533-position model. The record is from RNAcentral.
CGAAGGAUGCAAGCGUUUAUCCGGAUUCAUUGGGUUUAAAGGGUGCGUAGGCGGACUGAUAAGUCAGUGGUGAAAUCUCUUUGCUUAACAAAGAAACUGCCAUUGAUACUGUCGGUCUAGAGUAUAGAUGACGUUGGCGGAAUAUGACAUGUAGUGGUGAAAUACUUAGAUAUGUCAUAGAACACCGAUUGCGAAGGCAGCUAACGAAACUAUAACUGACGCUGAGGCACGAAAGUGCGGGGAUCAAACAGGAUUAGAUACCCUGGUAGUCCGCACCGUAAACGAUGAUUACUCGUUGUUGGCGAUAUGACAGUCAGCGACCAAGCGAAAGCGAUAAGUAAUCCACCUGGGGAGUACGCCGGCAACGGUG